AACGCACCUUGCGCUCUUUGGUAUUCCGAAGAGCAUGCCUGUUUGAGUGUCAUGAAAAUAUCAACCUUGACUUGGGUUUAGUGCUCUUGUCUUGGCUUGGAUUUGGCUGUUUGCCGCUCGAAAGAGUCGGCUCAGCUUAAAAGUAUUAGCUGGAUCUGUCUUUGAGACUUGGUUUGAGUUGGCGUAAUAAGUUAUUUCGCUGAGGACAAUCUUCGGAUUGGCCGAGUUUCUGGGACGUUUGUCCGCUUUCUAAUACAAGUUCUAGCUUGCUAGACAUGACUUUUUUAUUAUCUGGCCUCAAAUCAGGUAGGACUACCCGCUGAACUUAA
RNAcentral lists this unclassified non-coding RNA (329 nucleotides) under uncultured Solicoccozyma. Its description in RNAcentral is "sequence contains ITS2". The stretch from base 1 to 52 matches the Rfam family "5.8S ribosomal RNA", at positions 103 to 154 of the family's 154-position model. Lineage: Eukaryota; Fungi; Basidiomycota; Tremellomycetes; Filobasidiales; Piskurozymaceae. The record is from RNAcentral.